Myotis brandtii (Brandt's bat) is the source of this 1849-nucleotide long non-coding RNA. RefSeq lists it as uncharacterized. The transcript is spliced from 4 exons. The record is from RefSeq and is a predicted model, not a curated record. NCBI's taxonomy places the organism in Eukaryota, Metazoa, Chordata, Mammalia, Chiroptera, Vespertilionidae.
UAUGUGGUGAGACACAAUGCCACAGGGAGAUAAUCAAGAACCUUCACCUGAUACCACAGGGCUGAUUACAGAGACUGCAGGAGCGUCUGCUGAAGGGGAUUAGGUUAAACAUAGCUUUUCUAUUUACAGGUGAUUUCUUCCGAGCACUUGAACAUUCUGCUCAGCCUAGGCUGGGGAAAUGAGUAACAGAAGGUCCCUUUUCCAGAGAAUUCACUGUGUGAGGAGAUGGGCCACCGGCUCCUCUUCUCUCAGAUGACGUGAGCAUUAAUUGGAAGGUGUCCGUGCUGUCUGCCAGGGAAAUGGAAAGCGUGAAGUCUCAUCUGGGAAACCCAAAGAAGGAUGAGCUUGUGAACUAAGAGAACUGUAAUCAGAGGAGACUUCUUUGUACUACUUGGUGGGGAGAACGUUUACACCCUGGCGGAAUGUCCUGAACUGUUCUGUGUGAGUGCAGGGAUCCAGGACAUCUGAAGGCCACCGCGCAGUGGAGUGACAGGUCUGCAGCUCCCCAGCAGAAGCACCUGGACUAAGUGUGCAACAAGACCUCAGUCAACACCAGGCCCAGAAGUCACUGAACUCUGUGCCAGGCGGGAAAGGUCAACAGGCCUCUGGCUGGGGUCCUCCUCCCCUGCUCCCCCUUCUGUGGCCUCUCCUGUCCCUAACCUAGGGACAAUAUUUAGAAAGCAGAGCUGGGUUCAGGCAGCCCUCUCAAUUACUUUGGCUGGAACCUUCCUGAGUACAUUUUGCUAUCUCUUUCUGAUGUAAAUGGGCACUCACAGUUGGCAGGGGAUGGUCUUUCUGUUGUAAUUACGCAAGGCAUAAUUAUAGUUCCAGGGCCUGGAAGCAGCAUAGAGUUCUUUGGAGAACUUCACAGGGAUUUUUCUGUUAUGACAUAAUUUAUCUGAGACGGGGGAGGGGAGGGGGGUAAGGCAAAAGGCAUUUCCAAAGAGGAAAUAAUAACACCAUUCAUGUCAGCGUUCCAUUCCAUAUUGAGAAGAAAUCGCAAAAUCAGAAUCUCCUUUUUUUUUUUGGCUGGGGGAUGGGGAGCCAUCUCAAAAUGUUGGAUCCAACUAGUGGUGGGAAAAUCUGGAUACAUACUGAUGAAUGGAUGUGGGUGGAGGAGGAUAUAAGGAUAUAAAAAUAAAUGCUUUUACUUGAGAAAGCAAUAAUGAAACAUCCAGCUGAAUCAAAGUGACUUUGUAAGUGCCCUGGGCCCUGGGGAUAUGGAAAAAGAUCUCACCACGGUUAUAGUAAUCUGGCCUGAACCUGAGUCACAGAAUUCCCUGUGCCCCCAGAUGUUCAGUAAGAGGGCAAGUCGUUACUCUGCUGAUGUAGUGAGAAAUCACAGAACUGCCAGCGUAAUGGAGGGGACAGUGACAGGGGUGGAGAGAUGGGGCUGUUUCUCUGUUAUGAAACAUGUUUUUGUAGGUAAUUCUGAUGUACAGUAGGUAUUAAAAAGAGCAACUAAAAGAUGUUUUAUUUUAAAUUAGUGCUAGAGUGAAAUUUCCCCCAUGGCACUAAUAAGCCGGCAGCUUUCAUACGCCCAUUUCCCUCCGAGUUUCUCACAGACUCCAGCUCUGUCUGUUCUGGCAUAAGGGUGAGCCACUGCAUCAUGAUUUCUGCCUUAGAAAAGGAGAGAACCCUCCUUACUCACUGUGCUGGUGAUAUUUAGAAAAGAGGGGUAUAACGCUCUUUUUUUGUUUGGAGGCGAGGAAGAUAGUAAAUGAAUUUUGCCUUUGCAAUUUAGAGCUAGGGAUGUAUAUAUCGGGGCAGUCCUGAGUAAAAAAAACACACAAAAAAACCCAAGGCAUUUCAAAAAACGGUGUUUUGUAAUUGAGUGAUCAUUUAAGAC